UUAAAUUUUAUUUAUUAAUUUUAUUGUUUUAAUUUUUAAAUUAUUAAAAAUAAUUAUAAUAAAAAAUGUUUUAGUAUUGUUUAAAGAAAAAAUAAUUUUAAUAAUAGUGAAUUAGUAUUGUAAAAGAAAAUUGAAAUAAUUUGAAAAAAUAUUAUUGUAAAAGAAAAUUUAAUUUAUUGUACCU
RNAcentral lists this ribosomal RNA (184 nucleotides) under Amiota leucostoma. RNAcentral's name for it is "partial 16S ribosomal RNA". The record is from RNAcentral. Lineage: Eukaryota; Metazoa; Arthropoda; Insecta; Diptera; Drosophilidae.